RNAcentral lists this long non-coding RNA (715 nucleotides) under Marmota monax (woodchuck). The record is from RNAcentral. Lineage: Eukaryota; Metazoa; Chordata; Mammalia; Rodentia; Sciuridae.
UCGACAUGGACAGGAAGAAGUGGAGUCAGCCAAACUUUCUCUUCCCAAAUAAUGUCGCCAAUUAAAUUUCCUUCCUUGCACAAAACAUUUAAGAAAAGUAUGGGAGAAGCUGGACACCAUUGCUAAUGCCUGUUGUCCCAGCUACUCUUGAGGUCAAAGAGGAGGAUCGCUUGAUCUAGGAAUUUGGGGCCAUUCUGGGCAAAGUAGCAAAACUGGUCUUAUUAAAGAAACAAAAAAUACUGCAGGUGUUAACUAAGAUCUAAAUAAGGAGACAUCCGUUCUACUCCUGUUUCACUCUCUUAGAGGCCAACAGUCUUGAAUGGGUGUCUUCUUUCUCUUAGGUGUUAGCUAGCUCUUAAACCCUUAUGUGAUGGACAGCUCUGUUUCUAAUAUUUAAUUCUAUAAUGAACAAAUCUGUCUUUAAAUCCCUGCUGCCUCAGAUUUGGCUAUCUUUGACUUAAACCAUUGUGAAAUCUUUUUAAAAUGAAUAAUCAUUUAUUUUUAGAACAAAACAGUCAUAUGGCUAAAAAUUCAAGAUACAAAAGGGUAUAAAGUGUCUUCAAACUGUCUCCAGCCACACAGGCAUUUCUUAUUAUCUGUCCAAAGCGUUUUACUUUUAUAUGUAUCUUUCCCCUUUUUUCAUUCAAACAGCAACUAACUACCACAUUGUCCUGUAUCUUCUUUUAACUGAGUGUAUUUUAUAGAUCUAUUUCUG